GACGAACGCUGGCGGCGUGCUUAACACAUGCAAGUCGAACGGAAAGGCCCUGCUGUGGUGUGGUGCUCGAGUGGCGAACGGGGGAGUAACACGGGAGUAACCUGCCCGGUACUUUGGGAUAACUUCGGGAAACUGGGGCGAAUACCGGAUAGGAGCUCCUGCUGCAUUGUGGGGGUUGGAAAGUUUCGGCGGUUGGGGAUGGACUCGCGGCUUAUCAGCUUGUUGGUGGGGUAGUGGCUUACCAAGGCUUUGACGGGUAGCCGGCCUGAGAGGGUGACCGGCCACAUUGGGACUGCGAUACGGACCAGACUGCUACGGGAGGCAGCAGUGGGGAAUAUUGCCCAAUGGGCGGAAGCCUGAUGCAGCAACGCCGCGUGCGGGAUGACGGCCUUCGGGUUGUAAACCGCUUUCGCCUGUGACGAAGCGUGAGUGACGGUAAUGGGUAAAGAAGCACCGGCUAACUACGUG
Molecule: ribosomal RNA, 468 nt
Filed under: uncultured bacterium
Lineage: Bacteria
Description: partial 16S ribosomal RNA
Rfam family: Bacterial small subunit ribosomal RNA
Source: RNAcentral